This is a long non-coding RNA of Ipomoea triloba (trilobed morning glory), 813 nucleotides long. RefSeq lists it as uncharacterized. Lineage: Eukaryota; Viridiplantae; Streptophyta; Magnoliopsida; Solanales; Convolvulaceae. The record is from RefSeq and is a predicted model, not a curated record. The transcript has 5 exons.
CUCUUCCCCAGUUCCCCUCCGACUUCUUCCUCUCCAGCUGCGCCGGAAAGAACAUCAAAGAUACUAAAUCAGAAUAAUCUCUCCUCCUUCGACGCCAGCAUCAUCCUAUGAAACCAACCUUAAACAUCUCUGUUUCUACCUCCGCAAUUCCAGCCUCGCAAAACCCUCAAUCAAGCCCAGCUUCAGAACCCCAUCCUCCUAAGCUAGUUCCCGGCAGCAACCCUCGUCUUCUAUGGCAAUAUAGACACAAUCUAUAGCAUGCAGUUAGAUAUGGAGUAUCUAAACAAUAAUCAUAAAGAGAAAAGAGAUAGAUAAUCAGAAAUGAGAGAAAAGAUGGAUCUGCACAAGUCCUAAGAUAGUUCAGCCUUUAAGUUUCAAAGGACUCAUCCUCCCAGAUACCAUCCUGGGCAGUAUAGCCACUUUCAGCCUUUAAGUUUCAAAGGACUCAUCCUCCCAGAUACCAUCCUGGGCAGUAUAGCCACUGGUGAAUAUAACAGCAUUCCCACACUCUGUAGAUUAAUGAAGAUUAAUGAUUAAAAAAAAAAGCUUACCUGUUCGUGGAAGACUACCUCUUUGCUCUUAAUUUCAGAAGAGCCUUUCCGUGGAAGGAAGCUCUUGAAGGUAGAUAAAUUCUUGGCGAGGUAGUGCAUUCCCAUGGUCGAAAGCAAAAAUGCAAAGCAGAAAUUUGGAGAAUGAUUUUGAAUGAUAGUUAACCUGUAAUAUAUAGUGUGUAAUAGAUGUCUUAGAGUGAAAGAGUUCUAUAUGUAUAUUAAAUAGUUUUGAAUUCCCGGUGAGAGUGAAAGAGUUCCAUAA